This is a small nuclear RNA of Corchorus capsularis, 165 nucleotides long. It matches the Rfam family "U2 spliceosomal RNA". Rfam says of the family: U2 is a small nuclear RNA (snRNA) component of the spliceosome (involved in pre-mRNA splicing). Complementary binding between U2 snRNA (in an area lying towards the 5' end but 3' to hairpin I) and the branchpoint sequence (BPS) of the intron results the bulging out of an unpaired adenosine, on the BPS, which initiates a nucleophilic attack at the intronic 5' splice site, thus starting the first of two transesterification reactions that mediate splicing. The record is from Rfam. NCBI's taxonomy places the organism in Eukaryota, Viridiplantae, Streptophyta, Magnoliopsida, Malvales, Malvaceae.
AUACCUUUCUCGGCCUUUUGGCUAAGAUCAAGUGUAGUAUCUGUUCUUAUCAGUUUAAUAUCUGAUAUGUGAGCCAUUGGGGAGAGCCCACCACAAUAGCUUGCUAUUGGGGCUCUCAGGCGUCGCCCAAGCGUUGCACUACUGCUCGGGCCUGGCGCACCCCAC